RNAcentral lists this ribosomal RNA (460 nucleotides) under uncultured bacterium. RNAcentral's name for it is "partial 16S ribosomal RNA". It matches the Rfam family "Bacterial small subunit ribosomal RNA", at positions 338 to 795 of the family's 1533-position model. The record is from RNAcentral.
CCUACGGGUGGCAGCAGUGAGGAAUAUUGGUCAAUGGCCGCGAGCCUGAACCCGCCAAGUCGCGUGAAGGAUGAAUGCUCUACGGGUUGUAAACUUCUUUUAUAAAGGAAUAAAGUGAGGCACGUGUGCCUUUUUGUGUGUACUUUAUGAAUAAGGAUCGGCUAACUCCGUGCCAGCAGCCGCGGUAAUACGGAGGAUCCGAGCGUUAUCCGGAUUUAUUGGGUUUAAAGGGAGCGUAGAGUGGUUGUUAAGUCAGUUGUGAAAGUUUGCGGCUCAACCGUAAAAUUGCAAUUGAUACUGGCAGCAUUGAGUACAGUUGAGGUAGGCGGAAUUCGUGGUGUAGCGGUGAAAUGCUUAGAUAUCACGAAGAACUCCGAUUGCGAAGGCAGCUUACUAGACUACAACUGACAUUGAUGCUCGAAAGUGUGGGUAUCAAACAGGAUUAGAUACCCUGGUAGUC